AGUGAACGCUGGCGGUAGGCCUAACACAUGCAAGUCGAACGGCAGCACAGUAAGAGCUUGCUCUUACGGGUGGCGAGUGGCGGACGGGUGAGGAAUACAUCGGAAUCUACUUUUUCGUGGGGGAUAACGUAGGGAAACUUACGCUAAUACCGCAUACGACCUACGGGUGAAAGCAGGGGAUCUUUGGACCUUGCGCGAUUGAAUGAGCCGAUGUCGGAUUAGCUAGUUGGCGGGGUAAAGGCCCACCAAGGCGACGAGCCGUAGCUGGUCUGAGAGGAUGAUCAGCCACACUGGAACUGAGACACGGUCCAGACUCCUGCGGGAGGCCGCAGUGGGGAAUAUUGGAGCAUGGGCGCAAGCCUGAUCCAGCCAUCCCGCGUGGGUGAAGAAGGCCUUCUGGUUGUAGAACCCUUUUGUUGGGUAAGAAAAUCAGCAGGUUAAUACCCCGCUGUUCUGACGGUACCCAAAGAAUAAGCACCGGCUAACUUCGUG
This 492-nucleotide ribosomal RNA is filed under the name uncultured bacterium. RNAcentral describes it as "partial 16S ribosomal RNA". It matches the Rfam family "Bacterial small subunit ribosomal RNA", at positions 29 to 507 of the family's 1533-position model. The record is from RNAcentral.